GAAUAUUGGACAAUGGGGGCAACCCUGAUCCAGCAAUGCCGCGUGGGUGAAGAAGGCCUUCGGGUUGUAAAGCCCUUUUGUACGGGAAGAAAAGCCGCUGGUUAAUACCUGGUGGUCAUGACGGUACCGGAAGAAUAAGCACCGGCUAACUUCGUGCCAGCAGCCGCGGUAAUACGAAGGGUGCAAGCGUUAAUCGGAAUUACUGGGCGUAAAGCGUGCGUAGGUGGUUUGUUAAGUCUGAUGUGAAAGCCCUGGGCUCAACCUGGGAAUGGCAUUGGAUACUGGCUUACUAGAGUGCGGUAGAGGGACGCGGAAUUUCCGGUGUAGCGGUGAAAUGCGUAGAGAUCGGAAGGAACAUCUGUGGCGAAGGCGGCAUCCUGGACCAGCACUGACACUGAGGCACGAAAGCGUGGGGAGCAAACAGG
Molecule: ribosomal RNA, 425 nt
Filed under: uncultured bacterium
Lineage: Bacteria
Description: bacterial SSU rRNA
Rfam family: Bacterial small subunit ribosomal RNA
Source: RNAcentral